AUGGAGGGUCUUAUUCCAUUUGUGUACAAAGCCGUAGUCCAAUACAAAAAUGGCAAAGAAAGGACUAACAUAAGUUCUUGGUUUUGUGACUCACCUUCUUACUCUUACAUGAAACUUCCCGCCGGUGAUUCGGGUCAGUUUCAAACCAUUUAUUCUUCUUCACCUUCCUCGAACCCUACCAAAGUCAUCAUAUCUUCUUCGGGCGAUGAUGUUCGAUCUCCACGUCGUCGCUCUAUCAAUUCGCGAAGGGUUUCAACAUGA
Molecule: non-coding RNA, 261 nt
Organism: Vicia faba (fava bean)
Lineage: Eukaryota; Viridiplantae; Streptophyta; Magnoliopsida; Fabales; Fabaceae
Source: the annotation of a GenBank genome assembly